RNAcentral lists this ribosomal RNA (452 nucleotides) under uncultured bacterium. Its description in RNAcentral is "partial 16S ribosomal RNA". It matches the Rfam family "Bacterial small subunit ribosomal RNA", at positions 28 to 523 of the family's 1533-position model. The record is from RNAcentral.
GAUGAACGCUGGCGGCAUGCCUAACACAUGCAAGUCGAACGACCUUUUAGGUAGUGGCGGACGGGUGCGUAACGCGUAAGUAAUUUACACUUGGGUGGGGGAUAACAAAUGGAAACGUUUGCUAAUACCCCAUGAUUCUAGUUAAUAGUGAAAGAUUUAUCGCCUAAGUAAAAGCUUGCGUCUGAUUAGCUUGUUGGUGAGGUAAUGGCUUACCAAGGCUUUGAUCAAUAGCUGUUUUGAGAAGAUGGACAGCCACACUGGGACUGAGAUACGGUACAGACUCCUACGGGAGGCAGCAGUGGGGAAUAUUUGGCAAUGGGCGAAAGCUUGACCAAGCAAUGCCGCGUGGAGGAUGAAUGCCUUCGGGUUGUAAUCUCCUUUUCUCAAUGAAGAAGAUAUGACUGUAAUUGAGGAAUAAGCAUCGGCUAACUCCGUGCCAGCCGCCGCAGUAA